RNAcentral lists this long non-coding RNA (1007 nucleotides) under Gossypium barbadense (sea-island cotton). RNAcentral's name for it is "long non-coding RNA (GBAR_LNC000592)". The record is from RNAcentral. Lineage: Eukaryota; Viridiplantae; Streptophyta; Magnoliopsida; Malvales; Malvaceae.
UAGAAGCACCAUUGACAUAGUUAAUUAAACAAGCAUUUAGCAAGUUAGAAACAUUCAAGUACCAUCAGGCCGCAUUAAUCUUUUCCUUAACAGUGGGUUGUGGUCCUGUUUAAAACAAUAAUAAAAUAUCAGAAAUAUACAAGCUUGAUAAGGUUUUGCCUAUGUUAGCAAAAUAAAACAAGGAGAGAAAGGAAGAUUGAAACAAGAAAAGCAGAAAGACCCAGAAAGCAGGAAGACGUUAAAACAUACCUUGUAAAAUUUGGGUGUCAUUGGGAAUCCAUGGAAAAAGCUAAAUCCAAGAAGAUGCCCCCACUCAUCUAUAGAGACAGUUGAUUUGUUUCCUUCUAAAACCGAGAAGAUGCGCCGGAUAUUGGGAAACUAGGGUAAAAAUUUUGGGGGAGAAGAAGUUGGGGGAAAUUUGAGGGAGAAGAAGUUGGGGGAAAUUUGGGGGAAAUCGGGGAAAUUGACUUUGGCAGAGAGUAAAGCAAUUUCGGACCACACAGAAACGACGCCGUUUUAGUUAAAAAAAUUUAGAUUUUGUGGCGUUUUCAUAAAACGCCACUAAUAAAAAUAACAACAAAGUAUAAAACGACAGCAUUUUGCUUCCAUGGAUAAUUGUGGCGUUUUUCAAUAAAACGCCGGUAAAUUUUAAUAUCAUUUAGCCUUUAUAUUUUUAUAAUAUUAUUAAUUAAUCAAAAUACUUAAUAUUAUUAACACUAAUUAAUCAAAACUCUAUACCUUAAACCAUUAAACUAUAUCCCUAUAACCUUAAUCCCUAAAGUAUAUCCCUUAAACCCUAAACUAUAUCCCCUAACCAUAAACCACAAAAUAAUAACCCCUAAGCCUUAACCACAAAAUGUAUAGAUUAAUCAUAACCUUAAACUAUAUCUCUUGAUCCUUAAACCACAAAAUAAUAACACUAAUUAAUCAAUACUCUGAACCUUAAACCAUUAAACUAUAUCCCCUACUAAAGUACCGGCCUAAACUAUAUCCCCUAAACCUUAAAC